This 503-nucleotide ribosomal RNA is filed under the name Nesophrosyne sp. 344 GMB-2012. RNAcentral's name for it is "partial 16S ribosomal RNA". Lineage: Eukaryota; Metazoa; Arthropoda; Insecta; Hemiptera; Cicadellidae. The record is from RNAcentral.
UAAGAAUUUAAAAGUCGAACAGACUUAUUUCUAAAAGGGCUGCUUCUUAAAAUUUUCUUAAUUCAACAUCGAGGUCGCAAAAUAUAAUAUAGAUAUGAACUCCCCAUUAAAAUUACGCUGUUAUCCCUGAGGUAACUUAAUCUUAUUAUCCAUUUUUAAGGAUCUUAAAUGACAUUCACAAAUGAAGCAAAAAACUAAAGUUAAUUUAUUUAGUCACCACCCCAGCAAAAUAUAAAAUUAGUAUUAAAAAAUAUUAAACUAAAACUUAAUAAUACAAAAUUAUAUGAAGUUCUACAGGGUCUUAUCGUCCCAAUAAGACAUUAAAGCAUUUUAACUUUAAAUUUAAAUUUUAACAUUUAAAAAAAUAAAACAUAAUUCUCAUACAUCCAUUCAUACAAGCUUCCAAUUAAGAAACUAGUUACUAUGCUACCUUUGCACAGUCAAAAUACUGCAGCCAUUUAGAAGUUUAAACCAUAGGGCAGAAGAUACUUUUUAUAUAAACA